CGCCGCCGUAUGCGGGCGGCUCGGCAUCGCGCAUGUGGAGCGCGACUGCGCGGGAGCGUUCGAGCGCCAGGUGGUCGCGCCGUUCGUCGACGC
This 93-nucleotide transfer RNA is filed under the name Coriobacteriaceae bacterium CHKCI002. RNAcentral describes it as "tRNA-His". Lineage: Bacteria; Bacillati; Actinomycetota; Coriobacteriia; Coriobacteriales; Coriobacteriaceae. The record is from RNAcentral.